Amblyraja radiata (thorny skate) is the source of this 176-nucleotide long non-coding RNA. RefSeq lists it as uncharacterized. The transcript has 3 exons. The record is from RefSeq and is a predicted model, not a curated record. Lineage: Eukaryota; Metazoa; Chordata; Chondrichthyes; Rajiformes; Rajidae.
AGUCGCCGCUGCCGACAGUCCGAUGUUCAAGCCCUCUUGUCGAGAUCAUCAAAACUCCGGCAUCGGGAUGAAUUGGAACACUCUGCAGAAUGGAGCUCCCAAGUCGGCUUCUUCCUACCGGAGACCGCGGCUUCACGGCGUUAAAGUCCACAGGUCCAGCGGUUGGACCUUGUCAC